Molecule: RNA transcript, 4251 nt
Organism: Tachysurus vachellii
Lineage: Eukaryota; Metazoa; Chordata; Actinopteri; Siluriformes; Bagridae
Gene: stx3b
Gene name: syntaxin 3b
Exons: 12
Source: RefSeq, a predicted model, not a curated record
CUUCGAGUUUAGUGAUUACAGGCAGAUAGAUAGAGGGAGAGAUAGAGAGAGAUAGAGAGAGAGAGAGAGAUUAAGCUUUACCCAACUGUUGUUUUAAUCCCCUGAGCGGAUAGAUUUAGAUGAAAAAAACACUAUUGGUUUGGAGCAGAUCAGCCAUUUUUAUGGACCGUUUGUGGAUAAAGUGGACUUGGAGGAGAAAGACAACAGUCUGAGGAGAAAAGAGACUUUUUUUAGCUCGGACUUUUCACUUCCCAGCUGCUGACUGACUGCUUCACUUCACUUCUAAACCUUUUUAUUUAUUAACUGAUUUCCUUCAGUUCACAUUUGUGACAUUAACAUCAUGAAGGACCGACUGGAGCAGCUGAAGGCGACUUGUGACCAUGACGACGAGGACGUGGAGAUCGCCGUGGAUAAUGCAGCAUUCAUGGACGAUUUUUUCUCCCAGAUCGAAGAAAUCCGAAACAGCAUUGAAAAGAUUGAUGAAAACGUAGCUGAAGUGAAGAAAAUUUAUUCCAUUAUUCUGUCUGCGCCGACAUCUGAUCAGAAAACACAAGAUGACCUGGAGGCCAUUACCAAUGACAUUAAGAAGAUGGCCAACAACGCACGCAACAAGCUGAAGACCAUUGAGAGGGAACUUGAGACUGGGGAAGAGGAGAGAGUGUCAGCUGAUAUGAGAAUACGCAAAUCACAGCAUGCAGUUCUCUCAAGGAAGUUUGUGGACGUGAUGACAAAAUACAACGAAGCUCAGGUGGACUUCAGAGACAAGAGCAAAGGACGCAUUCAGAGACAGUUAGAAAUCACUGGUAAAGUCACUACUGAUGAGGAGCUGGAGGAAAUGUUGGAGGGGGGCAAUACAGCAGUUUUCACCGCCGGGAUCGUAGAUUCGGGAAUCUCCAAGCAGGCGCUAAACGAGAUCGAGUCUCGUCACAAAGACAUCGUACGGCUGGAGAGCAGCAUAAAAGAACUACACGACAUGUUCGUGGACAUCGCCAUGCUUGUAGAGAGUCAGGGUGACAUUAUUGAUAACAUAGAAGCGAAUGUGUCAAAAGCAGUGGAUCAUGUUGCAGUAGCAAAGGUUGAAACAAAGAAAGCAGUCAGGUAUCAGAGCAAAGCGCGGAAGAAAGUGGUGAUUAUAGUGUGUGUUGUAUUGGUGCUUCUGGGCAUCAUUGCACUCAUAAUAGGGCUAUCAAUAGGACUUAAGAAAUAAGUCACUAUUGCUGAAAAUUAUCAUCUUGGGUGUGAUCUGUGCUGUGGUUUUGGUCAUCAUCGUUAUUAUCAUCCUCACGCAGACCCUUUGAGACCACACCCAUUUUUGUGACUCCUCCCACUCUAGUCAGUUAUUCCGGUCCCUGAUUCCUCCAUCAUCCCUGCUUCGAGAGGGGAGACAACAGAUAAACACCCUCCUCAUCUGUCACUGUGUCCUCGUGUCCUUACUGACGAUUCCUCACCUCAGCUGUAUGAAAUCGUGCUUUCAUUUAAAGCACUUUGACAGCUGGGGUCGAUCGUGAAGCGAACCUGUUUUGCGUAAAUGGACAGGACUAUUUUGUUGAAGUAUGGACUGUACAGAGAAAUAGACCUCCACUUUUCCUACCUUAACAUUUUUAAUGGUGUGCCCUACACCAAAGACUUGACUAAUCAUACACGGAUCCUAAAUGUACUGAAUUUUGUUAUUGUAUUAUUAAGAAAUACUUUUAUCCACCAUCCACCAGAACAUCAUGUCACGUCAUGUCACGUCACAUCGUGUGUGCCGUCUGUGGAACUAAGUCUUACAUGCUGAGUCUCACUUGCUGAAUGCAAAUACACACAUCGGGGAUACUCUGUAAUUUCAGUCGGAUUUACGUUUCACAAAACACUCAGUGAUGUUAAGUUUUUAGAGUUUUGGCAACACAUCCGUCACCUGAUAUUUCUUUCAUAAGGUCCAGUGUUUUGAUCUCGGUCCAGAUGGGUUGAUGUGUAGGAAUUUGCACUCAAUCUUCAAUGUCUCAUUUCACUGGAAUUAAAUAAUAAUAAUAAUAAUAAUAAUAAUAAUAAUAAUAAUUAUUAUUAUUAUUAUUAUUAUUAUUAUUAUUAUCAUUAUGGAACUUACAAGCAUACCUAGGAAGGAAAAAGUGCAAUUACGUUGUGUAUUUAAAUCACUUUCCUGUAAAAAAAAAAAAUUUAUGUCACUUGAGGAAUAAAUGAUUUUAUAUUUUUAACUGCUGGUGGAGGUGCAGUGAGUGAGUGAGCAAGUGAACGAGUGCAGUUAUAUAAUGCACUACAAGCACAAAACCAUCUGACAUUUUUCCAUUUGUUCUGUGAUCAUAAUGAAAAUGGUAAAAUUGGUCCUUUUUAUAAAUAAUUUAAAAAAAAUAUAAAAACAUAAACUAUAUAUAUAUAAAAUAUAUAUUCAUAUUAUUCAUGAACUAAUUAAAAGAUUGUAAUAUUUGAUUAAUACUAUAAUGAUAUUUGUUUCUAUUUUUACAUGUUUAUAUUAAUAUUAAAUAUGUAAAUAUUUUAAAGAUAUAAGUUAAAAAAUUUUUUUUAGAAAUUUUAAUAAAUAUAUUCAAAAGGAAGGACUAGCAGUAAUAACUGUACCUGGUUGUUAACAAUAAGCUAGCUAGAUAAAUGUAAUGAGCAAGAUAUAUUUUCUGCAAGCUGUGUAGUUAUAGAUGUAAUAAACGUAUUAGAUUAGAAUUACAAGAUAUUUGAAGGUAAGAAGUGCUCAUUUGUCAGCUGCUGAUUUGAUGUCACUUUUAACUUGUUGGGAUUUUCCCCAGUCAGAGGUUGGGAUUUUAGUUACGCUCUUUUGUGGAAUACAGUAUUACAAGUGACCUGAACAUGUAAAAGUUAUAGGCCUUAGUGUAAAUGUAAUGGAUUUCCACAAAAUAUGAUAUUUUAGUUGCUCAUCGUAGGUUUGAAUCUUCACAUGAUGUUAAUGGUUUUGAAAAACAGUCCAAAACAAAGAAAGAUGGACUUGAGUAGUAAGGAAUGUAAAAACUUCUUUAAAAAAACAAAAAAAAAAAACCUGGCUGCAAAGUACACAGCAUUCAGAAUCGCAUGAGUAACGAUUUUUAAGCAAGAAGUGACCCAUUUUGAAUUUUCUCCUCUCAUGCUCAUCUAAAAAGCACAUUGUUGUGAUACACAGCUCAUAGCUCCAGCCCUGGUGAUCCAACCCACUGUAUUUUUUUCUGUAACUCAGAUUUCAAAAGGUUAUUAGGCUAUCAAGCCAAUGCAGCUGUGUUCUAGUUUUGUGCACAAAACCUGUGGUCUGCAUGAUGAUGCCGCUGACACACACACCUGAUGUCCUGUCCACACCCGACUUGUCAUUUCCACACACGGGAAACAUUCACACACGCAUGUUUGAUUCCAAUGUUUCCCAAAAGCCUGUUCAUUUGAGGUAAUGAACACUUGUUAGCAAAAUUUAUAAUUUAUUUCUUCAGAUCUUUAAUAGUGCCAUUGACAAAAGAACAACAUGUUGAAAUCGUUAUCGUGACUGGAUAAGGAAGCUGUCGCAAGGUUGCGAUGGGCUUUAACAGGAAAUGUGGAAAACACAUCACACACAACGUCGUUGUCAAACUUAUUAACAAAUUUAAAAAGACUGGAUGUGUUGUGGAUUUUUACCAUUUGUUCUUUUUUACACACCUACACAUCCUUCCUGUUUUAUUCCUUGCCCACAGUAUAUCCACCCCUGACCCUCCAUAAUAUAAAAAAUAAUAAAAAACAAAUAGAAUUUUUUACAUUUCAUGCACAUGUAAUUAUUUAUUCUUAUUUUAGACCUGCUUGUCUGUCUGUGUGUUCUCUUUGUCCUUCCAAUCAUCUGCUUUCCUUUUGUAGAAGAAAAUGAUGAUCAUGUUGUGUUGUAUCAUCCUGGGGAUAGUUGUCUUUUCCUGUCUCUACAGCUUCUUCUCAUAAAGUUGUGAUCAGGAUUAAAAGAUUCACACCGAACUGCUGUCAGAUAUAUGUAGUUUUCCUUGUUUUCUCCUACUUCACCCACUUACUUUGGGCUUUCUGUGUAUAAAAUGUUAUCAUCAUCAUCAUCAUCAUCAUCAAACCUGAAGAUUACUAAUCAACUGUCUGUCAGUUAAAAUAAUCAACAUGAUAUUUGGGAUAUUCCUUUGAUUCAUUUGAAUGCACAGGCAGAAUAAAUUUAACAGAGAGAAAAAAAAUUCUCUAAUGAAAUAUUUGUGGUAGUUUGUAUGUUUGUGUGUAUUCAUGCUUUGUAUGUAUAGUACUAUUCCGAUAUAGAAGUUCUUUCAUAAAAGGUGGUUGCCA